This 465-nucleotide ribosomal RNA is filed under the name Vreelandella stevensii. RNAcentral's name for it is "partial 16S ribosomal RNA". It matches the Rfam family "Bacterial small subunit ribosomal RNA", at positions 338 to 795 of the family's 1533-position model. The record is from RNAcentral. Lineage: Bacteria; Pseudomonadati; Pseudomonadota; Gammaproteobacteria; Oceanospirillales; Halomonadaceae.
CCUACGGGUGGCAGCAGUGGGGAAUAUUGGACAAUGGGCGAAAGCCUGAUCCAGCCAUGCCGCGUGUGUGAAGAAGGCCUUCGGGUUGUAAAGCACUUUCAGUGGGGAAGAAAGCCUUGGGGCUAAUACCCUCGAGGAAGGACAUCACCCACAGAAGAAGCACCGGCUAACUCCGUGCCAGCAGCCGCGGUAAUACGGAGGGUGCGAGCGUUAAUCGGAAUUACUGGGCGUAAAGCGCGCGUAGGCGGUCUGAUAAGCCGGUUGUGAAAGCCCCGGGCUCAACCUGGGAACGGCAUCCGGAACUGUCAGGCUAGAGUGCAGGAGAGGAAGGUAGAAUUCCCGGUGUAGCGGUGAAAUGCGUAGAGAUCGGGAGGAAUACCAGUGGCGAAGGCGGCCUCCUGGACUGACACUGACGCUGAGGUGCGAAAGCGUGGGUAGCAAACAGGAUUAGAUACCCCUGUAGUC